Molecule: ribozyme, 115 nt
Filed under: Aedes aegypti (yellow fever mosquito)
Lineage: Eukaryota; Metazoa; Arthropoda; Insecta; Diptera; Culicidae
Description: drz-agam-1 ribozyme
Rfam family: drz-agam-1 ribozyme
Source: Rfam by way of RNAcentral
UAUCCAGUAACUCCUAUCCCUACCUCUCCGUGGUGCCACCUGGCGUACGAGUAUCCGUAGGGAAGAUCGAAUAACCAACCCCGGUGGGACCUUGGUCGUAUGCUGACAGGGAAGG